GCUAAACUGAGGAAUGGGCCGAGAAGGGCAAACUGUAACUACAGUUGCUUUUAGCUCAUGUUUAAAUACAGGAUAUACUCUGUUUUCCUUCUGUACAGGAGAGGGAACUCUUCACAGAUGGGAGGCAUUUCCUGUGAGCCUGUAAUUGUGUAAGCUGGGAGUAAAGAGGAUGCCCAGGUAUACAUUUUUGGCUUUGUUUUUGCUGGUGGUGAUUAUGGUGGUGGCUUUUGUUUUUUUCAGCCAUAAGGCUAGUAAGAAUUUUUUCUCCUAAUUAAAAUA
This 279-nucleotide long non-coding RNA is filed under the name Pongo abelii (Sumatran orangutan). RNAcentral's name for it is "lincRNA". The record is from RNAcentral. Lineage: Eukaryota; Metazoa; Chordata; Mammalia; Primates; Hominidae.